UGACCUACUUCUUGUUGCUCUACUUUUCAGCUCCAAAAUUUGAUAAUUUCGAAUAAAUUUCAAAGCAUGGGAUAGUGUAGAGAAGGUGAAUUGUCUAAAUUCUUCAUUCAUCUCCUUAAAGAUCAAUUGUCUGAAGCAUGUACCAGGUGAACUAUCUAUUUUAUUUAUUAGAAACGAGUGAGGACGGAAGAUAAAAGAUUCUCUGCGAUAAAUAGCAUGUGAACAAAAGAAAAAAUGUCUCUAUGUAUAAUUUUAUUGUGAAGUGUAGAUAAUUUAAACUUGUGUUAUCUUUGACUUUGUGAUGAAAUUAUUAGUAAAAUAUUUGAAAAUUAAAAUAGUAUUUUAAUAUUUAUGAAACAAAUCUUGAAUAAACCAUUAAAACUAAACAAUAGAAAACAAUAUCUGUUGGCGGGGUUUCGGAACACCACUAUAUUUUAAGUUGAUACUAAAUGUUUUUGUUAAUAAAUUUGCGAAAAUUAUAAUCAUGCUUCCAUAGUUAUUUGUACCCCUAUUUUGAUGUUCUACUCAAAACACUCAUUUUACAUGUUUAAAACCAAAAUAACCGGCAAUCUUCGUGGAUGAUUUACAUAACACAUUUAAAAAAAAUUAUGAUUGUACUUGAAAACUCAAUUUAAGCUCAAAAUGAAAAUGUGUUUAGGACAAAUUUAAAUUGAGUUUUCUAGAACACAUAAUACAUUUGUGUUUCGAAAAACUGAAAUUUGAGUUUACUAGAACAUAUUUGAACAUCGUAGGACAAAAGAAUUUUCUAAUUUAAAAAAAGAAUAAAGUCAAGAGCAAAUAUUUGAUUUUUUAGAGGAUUUAUGGGAUAGGGGUAAACUUUUGUAAAUCUGAUUGCAUAGUUAUUAUGUUUUUUUUUCUUUUCAGUUUAGUCUUGUUUAGGUAGUUAUUUUUAGUCUCAUGAUGUGAUUUCCUCUACGAAAACAGGAAUACUUUACAAUUUUUUGCAUCACAUAAAUUAUAAUUUCAUAGGUUAAUUGUAUCAUUAGUAAUACGGCCUUUGAUACUCCCAACAAUUGUUGUGUUGUUUCCACUAAUGGUUAACAUGAGUCGUGAGGGACCAAAGGCUGACCCAAUAUUCUUGAUGGACCAAAUAAAAAAUAUAUCAUGUUUUUGUGGACUCAAAUCAUAUUUAAGCUACGUUAUUAAGAAUUGUAAUUAAAAGUAGUUAGUGGAGGGUGUGAAACAACAUACGAGAGUGUUAAUGGUCCCACCCAUCUAUAUGUGCAUAUAUGAAUUUGUCUUAUGUGUGCAUAGUCGAAUUGUCAAGUUUGAUACCUCAAUUUCGUUUGUCAAUGGUACGCUUCAGCUGAUGCUCUCGGGUCUCAAUGACAAAUUUCCUCUUCUCUUAUCUAAAAUUUUGUUAGAAAUUAGUUGUUUCAUGCUGAUGAUUGAUGUAGGUGAGUGGCAUGUUUGUGUCAAUUUUUAUGGGAUGUUAAUGUUUUUGUUUUGCCUCACUUCAAUAUAUCUUUGUUUUAAUUCUGUUUUAUUUUGACCGAUCCUUAUUGAACGGCUUAUGAGAAAAUACAUGAACAUAAAUUAUUUGAUGAACCACGCUAGUAUAUAUUUUUAAAUCCUCUUGUGAGCACAAUUAUCAUAUAGAUGAAAAACAACUUUAUGUAAGUGACGAUUUGUUGCAUGAUGAUCUAAAAAAAAUUUAUCAGGACCUUCGCUCCCAAAAUUAAAUAAAAUGUUUAAUAUUUAUUUUGCUUAGCACCUUACUUUGAUUUCCAAGUCUGCAAAUAGUUUCUAAUUUGACAUACUGUCUGUUUCGGUGCAUAUGAAAGGGCACGUCUAUAAUGCUAAUUGCUAACAAUAUGAAGAAAAUUAACAGAUUAAUAUUGUCAUAUUUAUUGUUUUUCAAUCUAUUAAUGUUAGAAUAAGUCACAUGAAAUAAUCAUUAGCUAUACAAAUCCUAGAUUAUUAGAAUUAGCAAUCACAUUAAAUUGUAUUUAUUUUAAAAUCACAGCUGUUUGUGACAUAUGGUAGACUAAAAAAUUAUAAUUUUUUUUUGUUAAAGUAGUCUUAUGUUCUUUUGUUCUUUACUUUUUCACGAGCAAGUUCUCCUUCCCUAGAUGCCCUUUGCAGCAGUACAUCCUGCUUACUUUCCAGCGAGACAAUCGCUAAUCUCCUUCGAAAUGGAAUUAAAACAAGAAUAUAAAAUAGAUACCCGAGCUAGAUAGUAGAUACAUUAGCUCAACCUUAUACACCGAAGUAUCUAGUUAAUUAUUUGUUACCGCAAUUUCUAUACCAUGAAUGAUAUUUGAUAUAUAGUGGAAUGUAAGAGAGUGCGGUGGUUUGAAAUGUAGAAAUAAGUUUUGGGUGAUGCAAGUUAAAUUAGAGAUCAUGUGUAACCUGUUUUGUCUAUUAGCAUUCAAAAUUUGAAGUAGAGAUCCAUCAAAACUUGUCCUUUCAAAAAAGAAAAUGAAAAAAAUUAUUUCGUUUUCAUUUUUACUUACCUCAUCAUGUUCACAUUAUUGGUAUAAAUACAAAACUAUGUGAUCUUUUAUACUCACGAAAAGAUAAAUUCUAUAUUUUUUGAUUUGUAAAUAUAUUUUCCAUGAUGGACAUGAAUAAGUCAAUAGAUCUAUUGUUAUGUAUUUGGAGUUUAUAUUCAUUUGAAUUUUAAGUUUGUACAGUUAUAUAUUGGAUAUGCAUGUCGUGGAUAUAAGACGAUUAAGAAAUCCACUUCCUGUUUGCCUCCUUUUCGAUAUCAACUUAGUUAUGGAUUUGUAAGCUUCGCAAGUUUCAAAUAAAAUUUGUGGGUGAGGUGAUUUUAGUUGGAUUGAUUGUUAUUUUAUUUUUAUCCUACCAAUCAAUGUGUCCAUCAAUCAUUAAUGUGUUGCUUUAGACGAUUUUAUCUUUAAUAAUUUCUAAUAAUUUUUUUUGGAAUAUUUGUUUUAUUUUUCGAUCUAUCCAGUGUAAUUUUCAAAUUGAACAAUACAUUAGAUUGGUAUCAACCAAACUCAUAGUUUUGUGUGAUGUUUUUGGUGCUAUUAUUGAAGAGCUAUUAUUUACUUAAUAAUUGAGGUGACGAUAUGAUCUUAGAUGUGUUUUUUGUUAACAUAUUGUAUUUGUUAUCGAAGAUAGAUUCUCUUUUCAUAUGUUUUUUUCGUGGUAAUUGAGAAUAAAAUAUCUCUUAAAAUAAUAUUAUUUGUUAAUUCUUACAUGAAAACAUAUUAUUUGUUAAUUCUUACAUGUCGUCUUCACUGUGCACAUAUGAGAUGUACAUUUAUUAUCUGAGUGAGUCACACGAGGUUUCCCUAAAAACAAUGUUUCAGAUUCUAUAGCUGCAACUUUUUCUUUUGUUUAUGUUGUUUCUUCUUAUUAGACUUUUAACUAUUGCCUUCCUUCUUUUUUUGUUCAUUUGGCUGAAAUUCUUGAUAUGCAUGUGGAAACAGGACAACAGAUCAUAUUUGCCAUGAGCCAAAAAAGAAGAAAGAAUACGAGGAAAACUUAGAAAGAAUACUUCCAAGCAUCGAUGAACCUAUCAAUUCUAUUCUACUUUGCAGUGUAUUAUAUGAUUGAACGUGGAGUCAAAACCCAAAAACAUGGUUUAGUAUAACUAACAUGAUAGCCAAGAUGAUCUGUUGUCCUAAUUUCAGCCAAAAAAGAAGAAACAACUUAUACUAAAAGAAAAAAGCUACAGCUAAAUGAUUCCAUAAAAAUUGAAACAUUGUUUUUAGUGAAACUAUAUAGUACUCCCUUAGAUAAUAAAUGUACAUGUGCACAGGAAAGACAUGUAAGAAUUACCAAAUAAUCUCAUCUUAAGAGAUAUUUUACGGUCAAUUACCAUGAAAAAACACUAUGGUAACAAAUACAAUAUGUUAAAAAGAAACACAUCUAAGAUCAAUUAAAUAACGACUCUUCAACAAUAGCACUAAAAACAUCAAACAAAGCCAGGGUUGAUAUCAAUCCAUUGUCUUGUUUAAUUUGAAAAUAACACGGCAUAAAUCGAAAAAGAAAACAAAUAUUCCAAAAAAAUUGUUAGAGAUUAUUGAAGAUAAAUUUGUCAAGCAACACAUUGAUUGAUUGGAUAGAAAUAAAAUAACAACCAAUCCAACUAAAAACCCAUAAAUUUUAUUUGAAACUUGCUCUAAGUUUACCCAUCGAUAACUAAAUUGGUAUCGGAGGGAGGCAAAUCACCCGCUCAGCAUGCCUUAACUUAACGGGAAGUGGAUUUCUUGAAAAAAAUCUUCUUAAUGGUCUCGCUAAUGUCAAUUGCUUCUUUGUUUUGUUGUCAAAAUUUCCAUGAUAUAAAUACUAAUUGCACAAACUUAAAAUUCAAAUGAAUGUAAACCUCUAAGUACAUAACAAUAGAUAGAUCUGUUGACUUACCCAUGUUCAUCGUGGAAAUUAUGUUUACAAAUAAAAAAAAAUAAAAAUUAUGUUUUUGUGGAUAAAAAGAUCGUAUAGUUUUGUAUUUAUAACCAACAACUUGGGAUUAGUGUUACUCUUGUCAAGUUGCACUCUUGUUAUACCAAGAAUGUGAACAUGAUGAGAUAAAGAAGAAUCAAAACGAAACGGUCUUUUUUUAUUUUGUUUUCUGAAAGUAUAAAUUUUGAUUGAUCCCUGUCUACAAACACAUUGAAUGCUAGUAGGCAUGUAUGAAUGAGUGAGCUCCAAUUUAACUUGCAUCACCCAAAACUUAGUUCUAUACUUAAAACCACCAUCCUCUUACGUUCCACUAUAUAUCAAAUAUCAUUCAUCUUAUGGAAAUCAUGGUAACAAAUAAUUAAUUAAAUAUUUCGGUGUAUAAAUGUUAUAUAUUCUUGCUUUUAUUCCUUUUGGAAAGAGAUGAUGAUGGUUAGCUAUUGUCUCGCUAGAAAGUGAGCCGCUGGUGAGGUACAGGUGAGGUACAACUAUUGAUGCAAAGGACAGCGAGAGAAGGAGAGAAUGGCGUUGUGGAAAAGAAGAAUAGUGAAUAAGACUAUUUUAAUAAUAAAUUUUUUAUAAUUUUUUAGUCACCAUGAUGUAUUUUUAAGAUAAAUACAUUUUAAUGUGAUUGCCAAUUCUAGUCCUAAUUAGCACCUAAAGGAUUAGCCAAUAAGUGACUAAUUCUAACAUCAACUGAAAAACAAUAAAUAUGGUAAUGUCAUUAAGGUCUGUUUAUUUUCUUCAUGUUGCUAGGAUAAGCAUUAUAGUCAUGGUUCCAUAUGCACCGCCGAGACGGUAUGUGAACUUAGAAACUAUUUCCAAACUUGGAAAUCAAAUAAAAGUGCUAGCAAAAUAAGUAAUAAACAUUUUAUUUAAACCUGCGAGCAAAGGUCCCUAAUAAAUUUCUUUAGAUCGUCAAGCAACAAAUCGUCACUUAGAUAAAGUUGUUUUUCAUCGCUAUGAUAAUUGUGCUCAAAGGAUUUUAAGAUAUAUACGCAUUUCAUCAAAUUUCUUUUCAUGUCUUCUCUCAUAACUAUUUAGAUAAGCAUUGAUCAACAAAAUAGCAAAGAAUUGAAACAAAGAUAUAUUGAAACGGGACAAAACAAAACCAUUACCGUUGGAUAAAAAUUGAAACAAUAUGUCACUCACAUGAUAUCGAUAAUCAAUUGGCAACAAAAUCUUUAGAUACGAGAAGAGGAAGUUUGUCCUAUAAAAGAAAUUAACACAUAUUGACAAAUUCAUAGAUACACAUAUAAAAAGUAUGGGUGAGACAAUUAGCACUCCCAUACAAUAAUUCGUACUCUCCACUAACUACUUUUAAUUACAAUUCUUAAUUAUUUUCAAGUAAUUGGCUUAAAUAUGAUAUGAGUCCACAAAAACAAUUAAUUUUUUUAUUUGGUCUUUCAUGACUCAUGUUAACUAUGAAUGGAAACAACACAACAAAAAUUAGGAUUAUCAAUGGUUCCAUUAUUAAUGAUACGAUUAAACUAUGAAAUUAUUAUUAUUAUGUAUGUUAUGCCAAACAGUACGAAUAUUCAUGUUUUCAUAGAGGAAAUCACAUCAUGAUACUCAAAAUAAAUAGAUGAGUACCUAAAAGUUAAGGAAAUAAUAUAAGAGAAUAAAUAACUACCUAAACAAGACUAAACUGAAAAAAAAAAACAUAAUAGCUAUGCAAUCAGAUUUAGAAAAGUUUACACCUAUCA
This is a long non-coding RNA of Cicer arietinum (chickpea), 6098 nucleotides long. RefSeq lists it as uncharacterized. The record is from RefSeq and is a predicted model, not a curated record. NCBI's taxonomy places the organism in Eukaryota, Viridiplantae, Streptophyta, Magnoliopsida, Fabales, Fabaceae.